CUCUCGGGGCUUUGAAAGCGGGCUAAUGUGUGUUUCUGUCUCUCUGUGUGUAGUAUGCAGACUCAGACAGCGGUGAUGACUCGGAUAAGCGCUCCUGAGAGGAGAGCUGGAGACUCAUCUCUUCUCUCAGAGAGAAAUUACCAGCUAACAAGAUGCAGUCUAUCCUGAAGAAGUGUGGUUUGCCCAGCAGUGGGACGAGGAGGGAGCUGCUGCGUGUGUAUCAGAUCCCCCAGCGCACCAGUCCAAACACAGACUUAGCUUAGAGGAGCUUCACACGCAGGCUGUUAAAGAGAUCUGCUAUGAGGUAGCGCUUGGAGACUUUAAACACACUCGGCAAGAGAUCGAGGCCUUGGCCAUUGUCAGGAUGAAGGAGCUUUAUCGGACAUAUGGCCAAAAAGACCCACAGGAAAGAGAGAGCUGGAAAAGUGUGGCCAAGGAUGUAUGUGAGACGGUGGGCGUCGGAGAAGAGGAAGGAGACAGGGAGGAAAGAACGACAGCAGCAGCUGGAGGAGGAGCGAGCGAGCGAGGAAAGACUGAUAUGGGAGAGCUCAAAUCUCAUAUCGACAAGCUGACUGAUAUACUGUAGGAAGUCAAGCUGCAGAAUAAUAUGAAGGAUGAGGAGAUCCAGUCGCUGAGGGACCGCAUGCUGAGGAUGGAGAAGAUAUUCCCAGUUGAAGAUCAGGUAACACUCAUAUAUCUGGCCACACUUCUCCCCAGUUCACUAACAGUGUGAUGAAUGUUGCAAACAAAACUGGCCAGUGUGUGGUAAGUCUGUUGACUCACCUUAUAUAAGGACAUAUAGUCCAAGACUCAUAUGUUAAUGUGCUAUCCUAUUAUUUCUGAUAAACCUGCUCGUAAAUAACAUUUUAAAAGGAAAACUGUGCUCAAAAGUCAAAACUGACACGACUGGCUUGCUUCUGUUUUUACUAGAGGUGGGCAUAGAUUAAUUUUUUUAAUCUAGAUUAAUCUCACUGUGAUCUUGAAAUUAAUCU
Molecule: long non-coding RNA, 992 nt
Organism: Carassius auratus (goldfish)
Lineage: Eukaryota; Metazoa; Chordata; Actinopteri; Cypriniformes; Cyprinidae
Exons: 3
Source: RefSeq, a predicted model, not a curated record